GACGAACGCUGGCGGCGUGCUUAACACAUGCAAGUCGAGCGGUAAGGCCCUUUCGGGGGUACACGAGCGGCGAACGGGUGAGUAACACGUGGGUGACCUGCCCUCAGCUCUGGGAUAAGCCUGGGAAACCGGGUCUAAUACUGGAUAUGACUCCAUGACGCAUGUUGUGGGGUGGAAAGCCUUGUGCGGCUGAGGAUGGGCCCGCGGCCUAUCAGCUUGUUGGUGGGGUGANGGCCUAUCAAGGCAACGACGGGUAGCCGGCCUGAGAGGGCGACCGGCCACACUGGGACUGAGACACGGCCCAGACUCCUACGGGAGGCAGCAGUGGGGAAUCUUGCGCAAUGGGCGAAAGCCUGACGCAGCGACGCCGCGUGAGGGAUGACGGCCU
This 388-nucleotide ribosomal RNA is filed under the name uncultured bacterium. RNAcentral's name for it is "bacterial SSU rRNA". It matches the Rfam family "Bacterial small subunit ribosomal RNA", at positions 28 to 417 of the family's 1533-position model. The record is from RNAcentral.